CGGUCUAAUUCCCUUGGAACAGGCGUCAUAGAGGGUGAGAAUCCCGUCUGCGACUCGGCCGCCAACCCCGUGUGAAAUCCCUUCGACGAGUCGAGUUGUUUGGGAAUGCAGCUCAAAAUGGGUGGUAAAUUUCAUCUAAAGCUAAAUACCGGCCAGAGACCGAUAGCGCACAAGUAGAGUGAUCGAAAGAUGAAAAGCACUUUGGAAAGAGAGUUAAACAGUACGUGAAAUUGUUGAAAGGGAAGCGCUGGCGACCAGACCUGUCCCCGGGCGAUCAUCGGCCAUUCGUGGCCGUGCACUCGCCCGGACGCAGGCCAGCAUCGGUUGCGGCGGCGGGACAAAGCGCCCGGGAACGUAUCUUCUCUCGGGGAGCGUUAUAGCCCGGGUGGYCAUGCCGCCCGCCGCGACCGAGGACCGCGCUUCGGCUAGGAUGCUGGCGUAAUGGUCGUCAGCGACCCGUCUUGAAACACGGACCAAGGAGUCUACCAUCUAUGCGAGUGUUUGGGUGUCAAACCCAGGCGCGGAAUGAAAGUGAACGGAGGUGAGACCCCGCAAGGGCGCAUCAUCGACCGAUCCAGAUGUCUUCGGAUGGAUUUGAGUACGAGCAUGGCUGGUGGGACCCGAAAGAUGAUGAACUAUGCCUGAAUAGGGUGAAGCCAGAGGAAACUCUGGUGGAGGCUCGCAGCGGUUCUGACGUGCAAAUCGAUCGUCAAAUUUGGUAUAGGGGCGAAAGACCAAUCGAAUCAUCUAGU
Molecule: ribosomal RNA, 752 nt
Filed under: Fuscopannaria leucosticta
Lineage: Eukaryota; Fungi; Ascomycota; Lecanoromycetes; Peltigerales; Pannariaceae
Description: LSU rRNA
Rfam family: Eukaryotic large subunit ribosomal RNA
Source: RNAcentral